Molecule: unclassified non-coding RNA, 212 nt
Filed under: Glomeraceae sp.
Lineage: Eukaryota; Fungi; Glomeromycota; Glomeromycetes; Glomerales; Glomeraceae
Description: partial contains 5.8S ribosomal RNA and internal transcribed spacer 2
Rfam family: 5.8S ribosomal RNA (bases 1-71)
Source: RNAcentral
GUGAAUCAUCAAAUUUUUGAACGCAAAUUGCACUCUCUGGCAUUCCUGAGAGUAUGCCUGUUUGAGGGUCAGUUUAAAUAAAAAUCGAGGUGUUGGUGUCUUUUGACCCAUCGGAAUUGGGUUAUCUUUGACCUUUUAACAAGUAUAUGUGACAUAAUAUUGAUACCUCGUGCACCUCAGACGUAUAUAAGAUUAUCUUUUUAUCCGUCCGG